AGGAGAAGAGAAGUAGUUGAUAAGUUAAUUAAAAGGAAUCUGUCCAAAUUAAAAAUGUAGGAUAAGUAUGCAUUUUUUAAAUAAGCAUGUAUUUUAGCAACAUAAGCAACGAACAGGAUUUACGAAACAAGACCUUAAUUAAUUAGCUUCCAAAAAGAGCAUUUGUUGUCUGCUCUUAAUUUGUUUUGAUAUAAUCAUAAUUCCUCAAUCUUCCCAAACAUAAUUAAAGGGUUGUGUGCCGUAAUUAGAAGAUUGUUAAACGUCCAAGAUACAAAUGAAACUUU
Molecule: long non-coding RNA, 284 nt
Filed under: Nicotiana benthamiana
Lineage: Eukaryota; Viridiplantae; Streptophyta; Magnoliopsida; Solanales; Solanaceae
Description: long non-coding RNA (NBEN_LNC011848)
Source: RNAcentral